CACAAUAGAAUGGCUAUAAGGGCGGUCGGCUAAUCCUCCGGGAAAGGAGGAUGAUGCCAUGUCGGUAUUCGAAGCACUUACGCUUAUGAUUGCGUUCGCGACUCUCGUAUUACUGAUUAAGAAAGAGAAAUAGACCGCCCACGGAAAGGAUCGGUCUAUUCACUGGUCUAGCUUUAUCCGAAAGCCACCGCCCUUAGAGCGGCAUUUGUGCAAGGAGUCGUGUUCCAGCACGGCU
This 235-nucleotide small RNA is filed under the name Paenibacillus prosopidis. Its description in RNAcentral is "BsrG". It matches the Rfam family "BsrG". From Rfam's summary of the family: bsrE, bsrG and bsrH pair through intermolecular interactions with antisense sRNAs. SR4 interaction with the 3'UTR of bsrG RNA promotes bsrG degradation and inhibits its translation. SR5 also overlaps bsrG from nucleotide 163 to 52 (Rfam overlap check). The record is from RNAcentral. Lineage: Bacteria; Bacillati; Bacillota; Bacilli; Caryophanales; Paenibacillaceae.